Molecule: ribosomal RNA, 433 nt
Filed under: uncultured bacterium
Lineage: Bacteria
Description: partial 16S ribosomal RNA
Rfam family: Bacterial small subunit ribosomal RNA
Source: RNAcentral
AACGAACGCUGGCGGCAUGCCUAACACAUGCAAGUCGAACGAGACCUUCGGGUCUAGUGGCGCACGGGUGCGUAACGCGUGGGAACCUGCCCUUAGGUUCGGAAUAACUCCCCGAAAGGGGUGCUAAUACCGGAUAAUGUCUUCGGAUCAAAGAUUUAUCGCCCUUGUAGGGGCCCGCGUUGGAUUAGCUGGUUGGUAGGGUAAAAGCCUACCAAGGCGACGAUCCAUAGCUGGGCUGAGAGGAUGAUUAGCCACACUGGCACUGAGACACGGCACAGACUCUUACGGGAGGCAGCAGUGGGGAAUAUAGGACAAUGGGCGAAAGCCUGAACCAGCAAGGCCGGGUGAGUGAUGAAGGCCGUAGGGUUGUAAAGCUCUUUUACCCGGGAUGAUAAUGACAGUACCGGGAGAAUAAGCUCCGGCUAACUCCGUG